AGCUUGCUCCCGGAUGUUAGCGGCGGACGGGUGAGUAACACGUGGGUAACCUGCCUGUAAGACUGGGAUAACUCCGGGAAACCGGAGCUAAUACCGGAUAGUUCCUUGAACCGCAUGGUUCAAGGAUGAAAGACGGUUUCGGCUGUCACUUACAGAUGGACCCGCGGCGCAUUAGCUAGUUGGUGAGGUAACGGCUCACCAAGGCGACGAUGCGUAGCCGACCUGAGAGGGUGAUCGGCCACACUGGGACUGAGACACGGCCCAGACUCCUACGGGAGGCAGCAGUAGGGAAUCUUCCGCAAUGGACGAAAGUCUGACGGAGCAACGCCGCGUGAGUGAUGAAGGUUUUCGGAUCGUAAAGCUCUGUUGUUAGGGAAGAACAAGUGCAAGAGUAACUGCUUGCACCUUGACGGUACCUAACCAGAAAGCCACGGCUAACUACGUGCCAGCAGCCGCGGUAAUACGUAGGUGGCAAGCGUUGUCCGGAAUUAUUGGGCGUAAAGGGCUCGCAGGCGGUUUCUUAAGUCUGAUGUGAAAGCCCCCGGCUCAACCGGGGAGGGUCAUUGGAAACUGGGAAACUUGAGUGCAGAAGAGGAGAGUGGAAUUCCACGUGUAGCGGUGAAAUGCGUAGAGAUGUGGAGGAACACCAGUGGCGAAGGCGACUCUCUGGUCUGUAACUGACGCUGARGARCGAAAGCGUGGGGAGCGAACAGGAUUAGAUACCCUGGUAGUCCACGCCGUAAACGAUGAGUGCUAAGUGUUAGGGGGUUUCCGCCCCUUAGUGCUGCAGCUAACGCAUUAAGC
RNAcentral lists this ribosomal RNA (804 nucleotides) under Bacillus aerophilus. Its description in RNAcentral is "bacterial SSU rRNA". It matches the Rfam family "Bacterial small subunit ribosomal RNA", at positions 77 to 865 of the family's 1533-position model. The record is from RNAcentral. Lineage: Bacteria; Bacillati; Bacillota; Bacilli; Caryophanales; Bacillaceae.